GACGAACGCUGGCGGCGUGCUUAACACAUGCCAGUCGAACGGAAAGGCCCCGUUGUGGGGUACUCGAGUGGCGACCGGCGGGGUAACACGUGAGUAACCUACCCUUGACUUUGUGAUGACUUCAGGAGACUGGGGCUAAUACCAGCUAGGAGCUCCUCCUGCAUGGUGGUGGUUGGAAAGUUUCGGCGGUUGGGGAUGGUCUCGCGGCUUAUCAGCUUGUUGGUGGGGUAGUGGCUCACCAAGGCUUUGACGGGUAGCCGGCCUGAGAGGGUGACCGGCCACAUUGGGACUGAGAUACGGCCCAGACUCCUACGGGAGGCAGCAGUGGGGAAUAUUGCACAAUGGGCGGAAGCCUGAUGCAGCAACGCCGCGUGCGGGAUGACGGCCUUCGGGUUGUAAACCGCUUUCGCCUGUGACGAAGCGUGAGUGACGGUAAUGGGUAAAGAAGCACCGGCUAACUACGUG
RNAcentral lists this ribosomal RNA (465 nucleotides) under uncultured bacterium. RNAcentral describes it as "partial 16S ribosomal RNA". It matches the Rfam family "Bacterial small subunit ribosomal RNA", at positions 28 to 507 of the family's 1533-position model. The record is from RNAcentral.